GGGGGCGUAAAGGUUUCGACGGGGACGAUGCAGCGGGAUAAGCGAGCAGAGGCGCGGAGCCUCUUUAAAAGCCGCACUUUAUAAAUUAAAUAACAACGAUAAUCUCGCUGUUGCUGCCUGAUUAGGCGGCCGUCUCACGGAAGAAGGGCCACGAGCUUCCGGGGGCGUCAAAUCAGUGGCGAACGUGAACGCGCAAAGCUUUGAACGCGUCAUGCAUCAUGAAGCUACCAAAUCCGUAAGCCUGUAAACCGGCGUGCGGAGGCGGGAAUUUCAAAAGAUUUACUGCGCUCGGAGAAGGUCCCGUGAACUUGUUUUCGGACAGGAGUUCGACUCUCCUCGCCUCCACCA
This 348-nucleotide small RNA is filed under the name Eubacteriales. RNAcentral's name for it is "RUG11797 sp902772625 Standard tmRNA". It matches the Rfam family "transfer-messenger RNA". Rfam says of the family: Bacterial tmRNA, also known as 10Sa RNA or SsrA, is named for its dual tRNA and mRNA-like properties. Its role is to liberate the mRNA from a stalled ribosome. RNAcentral also lists the same sequence under 1 other name. Lineage: Bacteria; Bacillati; Bacillota; Clostridia. The record is from RNAcentral.